GAUGAACGCUGGCGGCGUGCCUAAUACAUGCAAGUCGAGCGAACAGACGAGGAGCUUGCUCCUCUGACGUUAGCGGCGGACGGGUGAGUAACACGUGGAUAACCUACCUAUAAGACUGGGAUAACUUCGGGAAACCGGCGCUAAUACCGGAUAAUAUAUUGAACCGCAUGGUUCAAUAGUGAAAGACGGUUUUGCUGUCACUUAUAGAUGGAUCCGCGCCGCAUUAGCUAGUUGGUAAGGUAACGGCUUACCAAGGCAACGAUACGUAGCCGACCUGAGAGGGUGAUCGGCCACACUGGAACUGAGACACGGUCCAGACUCCUACGGGAGGCAGCAGUAGGGAAUCUUCCGCAAUGGGCGAAAGCCUGACGGAGCAACGCCGCGUGAGUGAUGAAGGUCUUCGGAUCGUAAAACUCUGUUAUUAGGGAAGAACAAAUGUGUAAGUAACUAUGCACGUCUUGACGGUACCUAAUCAGAAAGCCACGGCUAACUACGUG
This 497-nucleotide ribosomal RNA is filed under the name uncultured bacterium. Its description in RNAcentral is "partial 16S ribosomal RNA". It matches the Rfam family "Bacterial small subunit ribosomal RNA", at positions 28 to 507 of the family's 1533-position model. The record is from RNAcentral.